Zea mays is the source of this 3610-nucleotide RNA transcript. RefSeq lists it as uncharacterized. NCBI's taxonomy places the organism in Eukaryota, Viridiplantae, Streptophyta, Magnoliopsida, Poales, Poaceae. The record is from RefSeq and is a predicted model, not a curated record. The transcript is spliced from 4 exons.
UUCUGGACUAAUCGACCACCUCCUUUCCUUUCAUUUCCUUUCCUAGAGUUGCAAAUUCUCUUCAACACGCGCACAUGUGACAUGCCCCAUGGUCGCCGCCGCUCCAGGCAUCCUCCCGUGGCCUCACCUCCCUCUCCCUUCCUCCUCCCACCCGUCUGACGCCUCUGACGCCGCCGCAGCAGCAACAGACGCCAACACCUCCGCGUAUGACAUCCAGAUCUUCGAGCCCACCUCCAUCGAGGAGCGUCGUCGCCUCCUGAUCCAGCGGCGUCGCCUCCGACUCGCCGCCUCCCAUGCCUCGCGGCUCACCGUUGCCUCGCGCGUCUCCUCCAAACUCAUCAGCGCCACCGCCUCCUGCUCCAGCGGCGUCGCAUCCGAUCUGCCGCCUCCCCUCCUCAUGGCUCGUCGUUGCCUCCCGCCUCUUCCCCAACCUCGCCCUUGCCGCCCUUGGAGGAUCCCAAAUCCGACGACGAGCUCAGUAGGCCCACGCAGACGCGGAUGUGCUAUGAACUUCAGGUUCGUCUUUUUUCCUGUACACCAAUUAUAGUCCUCCAGCGCCUACGAAUUUUUUUUGCAAACUUUAUACAAGUCCUUCGCUCAACACCGCCUUUGGUUGCAACGGAAGCUGCUACUGUUGUUGAACGUUAGUUGCUUUUAUUAGAUUUAUGCAUUUUUUUUAAAUUCGAGUUCAAAAUUAAGCAAAACACACGCUUAAUCAAUUUUUUUGCGUUGUUUUCAACUGAUAUAUAGACAACAUAUUCCUAUCAAGUGGUUGUUUGCAAGAUUGACGAGUUGUAGGCACCAAAUAUAUCGAGUCCUUGCUAUCAACAUAUGAGCAUAUUAUUGUCAAAGUAGGCAACAUCUCAUUUAACAGACAACUCUCCGCUCUAUCAUUCUCUCAAGGCUGAUGUGCAUUUCUGAUAUAUUGAGCUCAAGCGUCAGAUUCUGUAUCGAUGGCAAUGGGUUCCAGAACAGUACACAAGGCAAUUUCAAGACGGUUAUUCAAUUGCUCAAAUAGUUCAGUAAGUGAGAACAAAGAAACUUCCUAAAUGUAUUAAUAUGGUAUGAUGAAUAGUGUCUCACACAUUGUGUUGUUGAGCUCUGGUCUCCAUUUCCGUGCUGCUAGAAUGUGAUUUGAAGUAUUCACCUUUUGACAUGGAUAAACAUCUUCUCUCUGUUGCAUUUGCAGGCGAAAGAAGGCUCAUGUGCUGCUUCGAAAAUCAGUUCUAAGAAGGCAACCAGGGACAACAAACCUGAUAAGGGAAGAAACAUGUUCUGGAUAAAUAUUGGCCUUUGUUUCAAGACUCCAAGCCCGCCACCAUCCAGGGAUCAAUCCUCACCACGAGGACCAGGGGUGAUGCCAACAAGGUGUACGUGAACCUUUCCUGGGGUGUUGAUAAUUUAGCUCUCGCAAACCUGUUCACUGAGCAAGGACCAUCUAUGACAGUGAGAACAAGUCAAGAGGGUUUGAUUUUUGUCAUGUAUGGUUCCACAGAAGAGCCUGAGAAUGCAUUAUCGAAUCUCAAUGGAGCUAUGAGUUCUGAAACCCUUUUUUCUUCCCCUUGCUGCUCGCGGCAUAGCAUUUGGAAAUUGAAGUACAAUUUGUCUUUCACGAUAUACUGAAUUGAUUUAUCAUUGUCCUGCAGGACUUGGAUGAUAGAUCCGUGUUACGAUACCAGCAUCAAAGCCGCCUAGAAGCAAUACUGAACUUUCACUUGAGAUGUGAGUAGUUGUAGUAGUAGCCCAAACUCUGGAAUAUAGUAUCAUCAUUCCUAGAUAUGUAGUUGUAAAUUCUCUGCCCAGAGGUUUGAGCUAUCACUCAGAUUAUGGGUUCAAUGUCAUGUAUAGAGUCAAGAAAAAACAUCUUCUGUGCGUCUUCGAGUCUUUCAAAGGCAAAACAAAUUACACGCGCGCUGACGCGCACCAAUUUACUAGUAUAUAUUCAGGUACAAAGUUUGUUCCGAUUUCUGUGAAUUGUUCAUGCAGAACUGGGUUUUGGUGGUCAUCACGAAAGUUGUAGCAAGUUUUCUGCAGAUUUCCAUAAUACACAUGUUUGCCUCAUUUGGGGCCAGUGAAUCAUUCUGGAUAAACGACUGCAGGUCCAGAGAUCAGUCCGAUAAUCUAGGAAAAUGAAUCUCACUAUAAUUCAUUCGAUAUUUGAUGUGCCUAUCACAUCGAGUAUUUGAAUAAUACCUACGAAUACUAAAUAUGGCUUAAUUAUAAAACUAACUACACAGAUGGAUACGUAUACUUAAAAGACGCAACGAAUUUAUUAAACCUAAUUAAGUCUGUAUUUAAUACUUAUAACUGAUAUUCGAUAUUUGAUGUGACACUGACUAAACUUUAGUCAAAGAAACCAAACACUACCCAAGCUUUUAUUCAAACAAAUGUUUGGUUCCAAAAAAAGAAAGAUGAAUUUGUUACUACCAAAGGAAUAUUUCUCUUGAUUAGGGAGAUGCUCUUAUCUUGAUACCCUAUAUAUAGAUUAAAUCAUGAUCGUAAUCAAAUUAUGGUAUGUCAUAUGGGUAAUCAUAGAACGUAGAUGUGCAUAGCAUGUUGAGAUGAUUUCGAUCAACGUUUGGAUUCCGGAUAUGUUUUCAUAUGACCGAACGAUCUUAGGCGUCCGAUAGGAGAGAUUCUCAUCAGGUAAUGUUUCUUGUUCCUUUCUUUCUAACUUAUGUCAUGUAAUGUUGUUCUAUAACAAAUCUAGAUAUAAAACUAGGAAACGCUUCAUCCUGCUACCCAAUUCCAAUUAUCGACACUUAGAAAGCACUAUGGUAGCGUUAAUCAAGUUACAUGUGAAGGCAGGCUAUGGUUUCUUCAAAACUUAAAUCGGUAUGCACUUUUUAGAACUGGCAUCUUCGGUCGAUAGUAUUUGAUCAAAUCCAAUCUAUGCUUUAUCGUCGUGGCGGUGGCGACGCUGACCACCGACACUAUCCAGUGACACGAUGUCGGUGAGGUGCAGUUUCAUAGCAACAUGAGCAAAUAAACAUGAUGUGUGUCAUGUCGUUUUUCCUCAAUUCCCUCCACUGUUGUGCUGCCAUUCUUACUAAUGGAUGGGGGUUCCCCUUUUUUGUUGUUUGGAAACAGUGAUCAUCUUGUUAUGGUGAUGCAUAAGAGGAAACACAUUCAUAGAAGCCUUACCUGAUAUAGGAUGAUGCUUCUUCAACUGUGUAUUAUGAUGGUUUGCAUAGCUCUACUCGAUCAUAUAUUUUUCAUCAAUUGCUUGAUGUUUAUGCAGAUCAGGAAAAUUAGUGAGUAUGGUUUUAUGAGAAUACACUUCUGAGACAUCUUGUUUUUGUUGUUUUAUAGGUUAAGGUUGGAUACUUAUUACGAAAAUAUCCGGUCCUUGCUAUCAACAUAUGAGGACACUAUUUUCAAAGGUCGUAGCAACAGGGUUCAAAGACGUGUGUUUGAUAGGGCAAUUCGUGAUAAUGAGCAUGAAGAGAGGUGGGGAGUUCCAUUGUUGGUUUAAGCUGGAGCCAGCUUCUAAAGUCUGGUCAGGUGUCCGUAUGUGUUACCCUUUCUUAUUUCAUUUCAUGAGAAGGGAUUGUUUUCCGUUCUUUGAAUUGUAUUGAAUUGUACUUGGUGGUACUCAUGAAUAAAUGUU